Molecule: long non-coding RNA, 299 nt
Filed under: Zonotrichia albicollis (white-throated sparrow)
Lineage: Eukaryota; Metazoa; Chordata; Aves; Passeriformes; Passerellidae
Description: lncRNA (ENSZALG00000005365.1)
Source: RNAcentral
AGCCACUUCAGGGGUCACUUCACGUCCCUUUGGUGGUCACUUGGUGGUCACUUCGUCCUCAAUGUCCAGCGGUCACUCCCCACCACUCUGGGGUCACUCUCCACCAUUUUGGGGUCACUUUGAGCCACUUCAGGGGUCACUCUGGGGGUCACUUCGUGGUCACUUUGGCCUCCUUGCCACCAGGUGGUCACUCCCCAUGAUUUUGGGGUCACUCUGUGGUCACUCUGUGGUCACUUCACCCUUCUUACCACCACCCCAGUGGUCACUCUCCACGAUUCUGGGGUCACUCUCCCCCAUUU